AUGUGGCGGGUCAGGGAACUUCCG
RNAcentral lists this microRNA (24 nucleotides) under Ananas comosus (pineapple). RNAcentral describes it as "microRNA s1403_c057b". Lineage: Eukaryota; Viridiplantae; Streptophyta; Magnoliopsida; Poales; Bromeliaceae. The record is from RNAcentral.